GCCCGUGUAGCUCAGCCGGUAGAGCAUUGUACUUAUGAGGCUAACUGACAACUGUGAUAUGCAAGGGUCCCGAGUUCGAUUCUCGGCGUGGGCA
This is a non-coding RNA of Tephrocybe sp. NHM501043, 94 nucleotides long. NCBI's taxonomy places the organism in Eukaryota, Fungi, Basidiomycota, Agaricomycetes, Agaricales, Lyophyllaceae. The record is from the annotation of a GenBank genome assembly.